RNAcentral lists this ribosomal RNA (445 nucleotides) under uncultured bacterium. RNAcentral's name for it is "partial 16S ribosomal RNA". It matches the Rfam family "Bacterial small subunit ribosomal RNA", at positions 354 to 796 of the family's 1533-position model. The record is from RNAcentral.
GUGAGGAAUUUUCCGCAAUGGAGGCAACUCUGACCCAGCCAUGCCGCGUGCAGGAUGACGGCCCUCUGGGUUGUAAACUGCUUUUAUACGGGAAGAAAAAAUACUACGUGUAGUAUACUGACGGUACCGUAAGAAUAAGGAUCGGCUAACUCCGUGCCAGCAGCCGCGGUAAUACGGAGGAUCCAAGCGUUGUCCGGAUUUAUUGGGUUUAAAGGGUGCGUAGGCGGAUCUUUAAGUCAGUGGUGAAAGCCUGCAGCUUAACUGUAGAAUUGCCAUUGAAACUGAAGAUCUUGAAUGUGGUUAAAGUAGGCGGAAUGUAUCAUGUAGCGGUGAAAUGCUUAGAUAUGAUACAGAACACCGAUAGCGAAGGCAGCUUGCUGAACCAUUAUUGACGCUGAGGCACGAAAGCGUGGGGAGCGAACAGGAUUAGAAACCCGUGUAGUCC